UGGUUCUGGCAUNGAUGAAGAACGCAGCGAAAUGCGAUAAGUAAUGUGAAUUGCAGAAUUCAGUGAAUCAUCGAAUCUUUGAACGCACAUUGCGCCCUUUGGUAUUCCGAGGGGCAUGCCUGUUCGAGCGUCAUUAAAACCCUCAAGCACUGCUUGGUGUUGGGCCAGGCUAUAACUAGCCAGCCUUAAAAUCAGUGGCAGUGCUUUUCUAGCUCUAAGCGUAGUAAAUUUUCUCGCUAUAGGUGCAGAGAUGCGUUGGCCAUAAAGCCUCAAUUCUUAUGACUUGACCUCGGAUCAGGUAGGGAUACCCGCUGA
This 315-nucleotide unclassified non-coding RNA is filed under the name uncultured fungus. Its description in RNAcentral is "partial contains 5.8S ribosomal RNA and internal transcribed spacer 2". The stretch from base 1 to 133 matches the Rfam family "5.8S ribosomal RNA", at positions 22 to 154 of the family's 154-position model. The record is from RNAcentral. Lineage: Eukaryota; Fungi.